CAGCAGCCACGGUAAUACGUAGGUGGCAAGCGUUGUCCGAAAUUAUUGGGCGUAAAGGGCUCGCAGGCGGUUUCUUAAGUCUGAUGUGAAAGCCCCCGGCUCAACCGGGGAGGGUCAUUGGAGACUGGGAAACUUGAGUGCAGAAGAGGAGAGUGGAAUUCCACGUGUAGCGGUGAAAUGCGUAGAGAUGUGGAGGAACACCAGUGGCGAAGGCGACUCUCUGGUCUGUAACUGACGCUGAGGAGCGAAAGCGUGGGGAGCGAACAGGAUUAGAUACCCCCGUAGUCCCUGUCUCUUAUAC
This 301-nucleotide ribosomal RNA is filed under the name uncultured bacterium. RNAcentral describes it as "partial 16S ribosomal RNA". It matches the Rfam family "Bacterial small subunit ribosomal RNA", at positions 509 to 807 of the family's 1533-position model. The record is from RNAcentral.